GGAGAUGUGCCUGAGCGGCCGAAAGGGGCUCCCUGCUAAGGAGUUAAACCAGUAAUGGUUUCGGAGGUUCGAAUCCUCUCAUCUCCG
This 87-nucleotide transfer RNA is filed under the name Candidatus Opitulatrix roisinitermitis. RNAcentral describes it as "tRNA-Ser". It matches the Rfam family "tRNA". Rfam says of the family: Transfer RNA (tRNA) molecules are approximately 80 nucleotides in length. Their secondary structure includes four short double-helical elements and three loops (D, anti-codon, and T loops). Lineage: Bacteria; Bacillati; Actinomycetota; Actinomycetes; Bifidobacteriales; Bifidobacteriaceae. The record is from RNAcentral.